AAAAGUGUAGUAUAAUUUACAUCUCAGUUACAUUGAGAAGAUCCAUGUGGCGCUUUUAC
Molecule: transfer RNA, 59 nt
Filed under: Hermissenda emurai
Lineage: Eukaryota; Metazoa; Mollusca; Gastropoda; Nudibranchia; Glaucidae
Description: tRNA-Val
Source: RNAcentral